RNAcentral lists this microRNA precursor (119 nucleotides) under Anopheles quadriannulatus. Its description in RNAcentral is "microRNA mir-598". Lineage: Eukaryota; Metazoa; Arthropoda; Insecta; Diptera; Culicidae. The record is from RNAcentral.
GGUUGUUGUUGCUGUUGUUAUUGUUGGUUUGAUGCAUACAUACACAUACACAUACACUUAUACACAUAGUGUAUGUGUAUGUGUAUGUAUGCAUCAAACCAACAAUAACAACAGCAACA